This is a long non-coding RNA of Brachypodium distachyon (stiff brome), 1707 nucleotides long. RefSeq lists it as uncharacterized. The transcript has 2 exons. NCBI's taxonomy places the organism in Eukaryota, Viridiplantae, Streptophyta, Magnoliopsida, Poales, Poaceae. The record is from RefSeq and is a predicted model, not a curated record.
AUGUGUUUUCGUCGCCUGUCAGACUCCUUCGUAUCCCUUCGUCGGCCUCCCCUCCAUCCCACGCAGAAAUCCGCCGGCUGCUCUCCCUCUCCUCCACGCCUCGCACCUCCUCCUCACCUCGCCGCCGAGCCUGCUCUUCUCCACACCGCAGCUUCUCACACGCGAGGAAAAAAAGACAACCUCGCAGUGGUGAGGAAGCAACCCUAGCAAAUCCCUCACGACCUCACUCUUCCGCUUCCCACCGCGGCGAACUGCCCCCUUGCCCGCCUCCGGAGCGAGCGGUUCCUGUUCCGUGCGUCGUGAGAGCGAUGCCCCGGCCCGGGGGAGGAGGUCACCUCGCUGCCGCCCCGCCCUCCUCCUCACCGCACCGCCGCCCCUCAACCCUCGAUCCCCUCUUCUGACUCCGUCGCUUGCUGGCGAUGGGCGUUCUACGGCCGCGGAGGGGCGGCGGCGGCGGCAGUCGUGGAGGAGGGGCUGGAUGGGCGCGGCUCGACGGCCAGCGGCACCAGCCGCGGUGGAGGAGAUCGCCGGUAUGUAGAGCAGACGGACGGGAGGAGGACACGAGUACACUCUAGAAUCAUUGCGACCUAGAAGACCUCACUGCCGGGUGCAAAUCGGGCCGGAGUCGCCGGACGAGUCGUCUUCAGAGUUCACAUCAGAUGCACCAGCAAUGCAGUUAAGUUAUUGCAAAUCUUCUCUGACGCGAGAGAACAUCUAGACGUGAUUUAACUGUACGUAUUUUUCUCUCUGAUUUAUAACUGUACAAGUUCUUCUUUUCUCUAACGUCAAAUACUCAGUGCAAAAUUUCUGUUUCAACAUGGAGCAUUUCACAGUAAUUUGCUCCCACCAACAUCUAAUGGUUAUGUCUUCUUAGAAUGUUUUUGGUUAUUAGCAUGUAAACCGUCAGUUCAUCAGACUUCUUACUUGCUACAAUGCAAGAGCAUAUACUUAUACUUAUUAACCGCCAAAAAAAAGAGCAUAUAUACUUAUUAUGUCUUCUUAAGACUUGUCAUAAUUUUGUUCUGCAACUGAGGGAGGCAACAAUUUAUUUUAGUUCAUGGAUUGGAAUUUCUUAUCGUUUUGUUUUACUAUGUUAUUAAAAUUCAUGGUAACUGGCUUGCCCAUUUCAUGAUCGGGUGAAAUUUUGCCAGCUGCAAUGUUGACAUAUCCUGUGCUGAAUGAACAAUCAAUUGAUCACUGGAGCGUCACAGAGCUGAAGGCUGAGCUGUGUAGGAGAAACCUACCUAUCACAGGUUUGAAAGAUGAUCUUGUGAAAAGGCGCUUUGAGGAACUUCAGGGUAAUAUUCUUGGUGGAGAAGGAACAGGUGGUGGAGCUACCCCUGGUGAUGAUCUGAAAGAGGACAGUACUCCUGGUCCCUGCUGAUACAACUAUUGGCCAAGCUACGAUCGAGGUCUCCGCAAUAGUUAUGAAAGAUGAUAUGCCAGCCAACAUUGAAGAGCUUGAGAAGAGAAGGGAGCUGAUUAGAUUUGAUGACAGUCGGCUGUAAGAAGUAAAACAUCCUGGCAGUUAUUUCAGAAUCUAUGUUUGUGAUUUUGGAAAAUAAGUCCUAGGAGUUUCACUGUUGUAGCAUCGGCGGUUAUUUUGGUGUAUGAUAUAUGUAAUAUUUUGUAUAAAGUGUCAAAUUGGUUUGAGAUCACAGGCUAUUAUUUUGUAUUAAGUAACUAAUUGGCUUCAGCUUUUAAAUA